ACUCCUACGGAAGGCAGCAGUAGGGAAUCUUCCACAAUGGGCGCAAGCCUGAUGGAGCAACACCGCGUGAGUGAAGAAGGGUUUCGGCUCGUAAAGCUCUGUUGUUAAAGAAGAACACGUAUGAGAGUAACUGUUCAUACGUUGACGGUAUUUAACCAGAAAGUCACGGCUAACUACGUGCCAGCAGCCGCGGUAAUACGUAGGUGGCAAGCGUUAUCCGGAUUUAUUGGGCGUAAAGAGAGUGCAGGCGGUUUUCUAAGUCUGAUGUGAAAGCCUUCGGCUUAACCGGAGAAGUGCAUCGGAAACUGGAUAACUUGAGUGCAGAAGAGGGUAGUGGAACUCCAUGUGUAGCGGUGGAAUGCGUAGAUAUAUGGAAGAACACCAGUGGCGAAGGCGGCUACCUGGUCUGCAACUGACGCUGAGACUCGAAAGCAUGGGUAGCGAACAGGAUUAGAUACCCUGGUAGGAUAGCG
RNAcentral lists this ribosomal RNA (473 nucleotides) under uncultured bacterium. Its description in RNAcentral is "bacterial SSU rRNA". It matches the Rfam family "Bacterial small subunit ribosomal RNA", at positions 335 to 801 of the family's 1533-position model. The record is from RNAcentral.